Molecule: transfer RNA, 65 nt
Filed under: Acrotaeniostola dissimilis
Lineage: Eukaryota; Metazoa; Arthropoda; Insecta; Diptera; Tephritidae
Description: tRNA-His
Source: RNAcentral
AUUUAAGUAGUUUAUUAAAAAUAUUGAUUUGUGGUGUCAAUGAUAUGAUUUUAUCAUCUUAGAUC